Molecule: small nuclear RNA, 196 nt
Organism: Lycium barbarum (goji berry)
Lineage: Eukaryota; Viridiplantae; Streptophyta; Magnoliopsida; Solanales; Solanaceae
Product: U2 spliceosomal RNA
Exons: 1
Source: RefSeq, a predicted model, not a curated record
AUACCUUUCUCGGCCUUUUGGCUAAGAUCAAUUGUGGUAUCUGUUCUUAUUUGUUUAAUAUCUGAUAUUUGAUCUAUUGGUUCACACGAUAUUAAUUUAAUUUUUUGAGGGGGAAGGUCCAUUAAGGUAGCUUGCUAUCUGGGCCUUUGCGUGUUGCUUAUGCAUUGCAUUAUUGCACGGGCCUGGCACACCCCCA